GUAUGAGAUAAACUAUUAGUUGCCUACUCAAAACUCAGUAUCUGCUUUUACAUGGUAAAAUAGUGGUCCUCAAAUUUUAGUGUGCAUCAGAAUCCCCUGAAAUUCUUGUUAAAACUCCAUUUGUGAAGCCCUACCUUUUUCUGACUCAGUAGGUAAAGAUUGUUCCUGAGAAUUGGCUUUUCUAGCAAGUUCCCAUGUGAUGCUGAUGAUGCUAUUCUGUGAACCUGACUCAGAACCACUUGAGUAUUCCUUGAGUAACAAGAAAUUUGACAGAGAGUUUCUCUCUGGAACUCUGGAAGAGUUGAGACUGUUCAAGGAAAUUUGAGUACUGAUGCUGGUCACCUCCGCUAUCCCAGUGCACGGUGGAAAUUUCCAGAGGCUUGUGAUAUGUGCUGAUGACAUCACCUCUCUGCUAGCUAAUGAAAGGUCGUGUUAUGGAGUAAGGUUUGCCAGAUUAAAUGAGCAGUUUGUACCAGUGGGGAGAAGUCCAGCUAACUAGACAAACUAGGAGGAGAAUUUAUCACCGUGGAAGGCUGAGCACAAUGCACUAACGACAUUCCACGUUCCAGACAUAGGAUGUGAAUUAUACUACCUGCAAUCUUUAUUUAUAGUUGAAAAUAUCAUAUUUGCAAUGUAGAAAGGCUUAUUCAUUUCUACCAGCUGGAAACCUAAAAGAUUUGGCAAACUUCUGUGUGAGGUCAGCUGGCUCUUUGGUUAUCUUUUUCGGUUUGGUUCCUGCCUGUGACUUCUGGGUUUUCUUCGUUGAUAUAUUGAAUUUAUUAAAUCUGGCCAAUGUAGAAGAUAAACAUGAACACAUUUCAUUCAUUCAUUCACUCAUUCCUGUUUUAUUGUUACUGUGCUUUAGAAAUCAAUUGCUAGGAAAUGUACCAACUUUAAUCAAACUAGUCUAACAGCCUAGAAAUUUUCCAAAUUUCCUCUGUGUAUUAAAUGAAGUUCCGAAGAAUUAACUUGAAAUGAUAGAUCCAUAUCUCCUAAUAGGUACAGCUGUGUUAAAUCAUAUGAGAAUUUACUCACAAGUAUUCAGAAUCGUAUGAAGAUUACGAAAUGUAUAUAUUCACUGUUAAAUAAUUCAAAUAAAUCUACAUGUGGGAUUUAUUCCAUUUAUAUUCGUGGGGGUAAAUAUAAAGAAAAAAUUGGCAUAUGUUUUCUGGGAAAUAGGUUAAGAUUGAUUUUCAUUCAGCAAAUACUUAUCAAGCUUCUUCUAUGAUAUCAAGAACUAUGCUAUGCACUGGGGAAUAAAAAUUGAAAAAGACGGCGCUUGUGUGCAAGUAGUGCAGUCUAGUGGCGUGGCGGGGAUACACAAGUUGUAUAUCUAUGCUGAUUUUUUAAACUCUUACAAACUUUUUUUAUUUUGAGGAAGAUUAGCCCUGAGCUAACAUCUGCCGCCAAUCCUCCUCUUUUUGCUGAGGAAGAUUGGCCCUCAGCUAACAUCCGU
This is a non-coding RNA of Equus caballus (horse), 1456 nucleotides long. The record is from RefSeq and is a predicted model, not a curated record. Lineage: Eukaryota; Metazoa; Chordata; Mammalia; Perissodactyla; Equidae.